AAAUGUGGAAAGUAAGACUAGCCACACAUGCGAAGUAAUUAUCACAUGAUAAAAAUGACUGUCCAGCUAUAGAAAGAGCCAACCAGCUUUAAAGCUACUGCUUCAAAAUGUGUAACAGCUCUAUAUCUGGUUUCUACCCAGUUUUAAUAUGAACUU
Molecule: long non-coding RNA, 156 nt
Organism: Gavialis gangeticus (Gharial)
Lineage: Eukaryota; Metazoa; Chordata; Crocodylia; Gavialidae
Exons: 3
Source: RefSeq, a predicted model, not a curated record